AACGAACGCUGGCGGCAUGCCUAACACAUGCAAGUCGAACGAGUGCCUUCGGGUGCUCGUGGCGCACGGGUGCGUAACGCGUGGGAAUCUGCCCUUGGGUUCGGAAUAACCGUUGGAAACGACGGCUAAUACCGGAUGAAGUCGAUAAGACCAAAGAUUUAUCGCCGGAGGAUGGGCCCGCGUAGGAUUAGCUAGUUGGUGUGGUAAGAGCGCACCAAGGCGACGAUCCUUAGCUGGUCUGAGAGAAUGAUCAGCCACACUGGGACUGAGACACGGCCCAGACUCCUACGGGAGGCAGCAGUGGGGAAUAUUGGACAAUGGGCGCAAGCCUGAUCCAGCAAUGCCGCGUGAGUGAUGAAGGCCUUAGGGUUGUAAAGCUCUUUUACCCGGGAUGAUAAUGACAGUACCGGGAGAAUAAGCUCCGGCUAACUCCGUGCCAGCAGCCGCCGUAA
This 452-nucleotide ribosomal RNA is filed under the name uncultured bacterium. RNAcentral's name for it is "partial 16S ribosomal RNA". It matches the Rfam family "Bacterial small subunit ribosomal RNA", at positions 29 to 523 of the family's 1533-position model. The record is from RNAcentral.